GACGAAUGCUGGCGGCAUGCCUAACACAUGCAAGUCGAACGAGACCUUCGGGUCUAGUGGCGCACGGGUGCGUAACGCGUGGGAACCUGCCCUUAGGUUCGGAAUAACUCCCCGAAAGGGGUGCUAAUACCGGAUAAUGUCUUCGGACCAAAGAUUUAUCGCCUUUGGAUGGGCCCGCGUUGGAUUAGCUAGUUGGUAGGGUAAAAGCCUACCAAGGCGACGAUCCAUAGCUGGUCUGAGAGGAUGAUCAGCCACACUGGGACUGAGACACGGCCCAGACUCCUACGGGAGGCAGCAGUGGGGAAUAUUGGACAAUGGGCGAAAGCCUGAUCCAGCAAUGCCGCGUGAGUGAUGAAGGCCUUAGGGUUGUAAAGCUCUUUUACCCGGGAUGAUAAUGACAGUACCGGGAGAAUAAGCUCCGGCUAACUCCGUG
Molecule: ribosomal RNA, 433 nt
Filed under: uncultured bacterium
Lineage: Bacteria
Description: partial 16S ribosomal RNA
Rfam family: Bacterial small subunit ribosomal RNA
Source: RNAcentral